GUUUGUUCGUCUACCCUGUAGAUAGAGCUGUGUGUUUGGAAUAUACCGUACACAAGCUAGACUACAAGGUGAACGACUUAUGAG
Non-coding RNA from Caenorhabditis brenneri, 84 nucleotides. Lineage: Eukaryota; Metazoa; Nematoda; Chromadorea; Rhabditida; Rhabditidae. The record is from Rfam.